Homo sapiens (human) is the source of this 6794-nucleotide long non-coding RNA. RefSeq lists it as uncharacterized. The record is from RefSeq and is a predicted model, not a curated record. The transcript is spliced from 2 exons. Lineage: Eukaryota; Metazoa; Chordata; Mammalia; Primates; Hominidae.
AUUUGUUGCUCUCUGCCUGGCUUCUCCAGAAUUUGAAAACUAUUUGUGAGUAUUCUUAGCUUAUGGCAAUAUACUUAUUUGCAUUAGUGCAAUAAGAAUCCAUUUUCUUUUGCAACAGGACACAAUUGGAGAAACUGGAUGUUUUACCAAGGCUUUGGCUGGAAGGAUAUGCUUCCCUUUAAGGAAUCAAGUUUGACUUGCAGAGGCAAUAAAAGCCCCCUGGGAAAACUGGCCUCAUACUUUGUUUACACAGCCCCCAUACAGGGUUUCUAAACUGUGGUGAGUAAAGAAUGUCACUUUUUUUUUUUUUUUUUUUUGAGAUGGAGUCUUGCUCUGUUGCCCAGGCUGGAGUGCAGUGGCAUGAUCUCGGCUCACUGCAAACUCCACCUCCUGGGUUCACGCCAUUCUCCUGACUCAGCCUCCCAAGUAGCUGGGACUACAGGCACCCACCACCACACCCGGCUAAGUUUUUGUAUUUUUAGUAGAGACGGAGUUUCACCAUGUUAGCCAGGAUGGUCUCGGUCUCCUGACCUUGUGAUCUGCCCUCUGCAGCCUCCCAAAGUGCUGGGAUUACAGGUGUGAGCCAUUGCGCCUGGCCAAGUAUGUCACUUUCUAUCAGGCCCAGGAGCCCCAUGCUUUUGCCACCUUAAGAAGAGAGGAAUUUACCUAACUCAUAGGUAUUUGAGGGUACAAACCCAUUGUUAAGCUCAGCUUUAAAAGGUCUUAUCUGAAAUUCCUUGUGGAAGAGAGUUCCAUCAAAGCCAAUUUAAAAGUGUCAGGCCUCUGAGCCCAAGCUAAGCCAUCAUAUCCCCUGUGACCUGCACGUAUACAUCCAGAUGGCCUGAAGUAACUGAAGAAUCAGAAAAGAAGUAAUAUUUAAAUGGCCUGUUCCUGCCUUAACUGAUGACAUUCCACCACAAAAGAAGUGAAAAUGGCUGGUCCUUGCCUUAACUGAUGACAUUACCUUGUGAAAUUCCUUCUCCUGGCUCAUCCUGGCCUAAAAAGCUCCCUGACUGAGCACUUUGUGACCCCCACUCCUGCCUGCCAGAGAACAACCCCUCUUUUUCCUUUACCUACCCAAAUCUUAUAAAACAGCCCCACCCCUAUCUCCCUUUGCUGACUCUCUUUUUGGACUCAGCCUGCCUGCACCCAGGUGAAAUAAACAGCCUUGUUGCUCACACAAAGCCUGUUUGGUGGUCUCUUCACAUGGAUGCGAGUUAAAUUUUGGUGCUGUGACUCAGAUCAGGGGACCUCCCUUGGCAGAUCAAUCCCCUGUCCUCCUGCUCUUUGCUCCGUGAGAAAGAUCCACCUACAACCUCAGAUCCUCAGACUGACCUGCCCAAGGAACACCACACCCAUUUUAAAUCAGAGACAGGAGACGCAUUUUAUCCGGACCCAAAACUCCGGCGCCAGUCACGGACUCAGGAAGACAGUCUUCCCUUGGUGUUUAAUCACAUGGGGAUGCCUGCCUGAUUAUUCAUCCACGUUUCAGAGGUGUCUGACCACGCGAGGAAGCCUGCCUUGGUCCUUCACCCUUAGUGGCAAGUACCACUUUUCUGGGGGGCAAGAACCCCCCGACCCCUUCUCUCCAUGUCUCUAUCCCUUCUCUGCUUUUCUAGGGGGCAAGAACCCCCUGACUCCUUCUCUCCAUGUCUCUACCCCUUCUCUGCUUUUCUGGAAGGCAAGAACCCCCCAGCCCCUUCUCCUUCACCCUUAGCAGCAAGUACUGCUUUUCUAGGGGGCAACAACCCCCCCAACCCCUUCUCUCCGUGUCUCUACUGCUUCUCCACUUUUGUGGGGGGCAAGAACCCCCCAACCCCUCCUCUCCGUGUCUCUACCCCUUUUCCACUUUCCUGGGGGCAAGCACCCCCCACCCCUUCUCUCCGUGUCUCUACUCUCUCUUUUCUCUGGGCUUGCCUCCUUCACUAUGGGCAGCCUUCCACCCUCCAUUCCUCCUUCUUCUCCCUUAGCCUGUGUUCUCAAGAACUUAAAACCUCUUCAACUCACACCUGACCUAAACCUAAAUGCCUUAUUUUUCUUCUACAAUGCCGCUUGACCCCAAUAUAAACUCGAUAGUUGUUCCAAAUAGCCAGAAAACAGCACUUUCAAUUUUUCCAUCCUACAAGAUCUAGAUAAUUCUUAUUGUAAAAUAGGCAAAUAGUCUGAGGUGCCUGACGUCCAGGCAUUCUUUUACACAUUGUUCCCUCCCUAGUCUCUGUUCCCAAUGUGACUCAUCCCAAAUCCUCCUUCUUUCCCUCCCGCCUGUCUUCCCAGUCCCAACCCCAAGCGUCGCUGAGUCUUUCUAAUCUUCCUUUUCUACAGACCCAUCUGACUUCUCCCCUUCUCCCCAGGCUGCUCCUAGCCAGGCUGAGCCAAGUCCCAAUUCUUCCUCAGCCUCUGAUCCCCCACACUAUAAUCCUUUUAUCACCUCCCUUCCUCACACCGGGUCCAGCUUACAGUUUCCUUCCACAACUAGCCCUCCCCCACCUGCCCAGCAAUUUCCUCUUAAAAAGGUGGCUGGAGCUAGAGGCAUAGUCAAGGUUAAUGCUCCUUUUUCUUUAUCAGACCUCUCCCAAAAUCAGUUAGCAUUUAGGCUCUUUUUCAUCAAAUAUGAAAAACCCAGCCCAGUUCAUGGCUUGUUCGGCAGCAACCCUGAGACGCUUUACAGCCCUAGACCCUAAAAGGUCAAAAGGCCAUCUUAUUCUCAAUAUACAUUGUAUUACCCAAUCUGCUCCUGACAUUAAAUAAAACUCCAAAAAUUAAGUUCCAGCCCUCAAACCCCACAACAGGACUUAAUUAACCUCACCUUCAAGGUGUACAAUAAUAGAGUAGAGGUAGCCAAGUAGCAAUGUAUUUCUGAGUUGCAAUUCCUUGCCUCCACUGUGAGACAAACCCCAGCCAUAUCUCCAGCCCACAACUCCAAAUGCCUGAACUGCAGCUGCCGGGGGUUCCUCCAGAACCUCCUCCCCCAGGAGCUUGCUACACAUGCCAGAAAUCUGGCCACUGGGCCAAGGAAUGCCCACAGCCCGGGAUUCCUCGUAAGCCAUGACCCAUCUGUGUGGGACCCCACUGAAAAUUGGACUGUUCAACUCACCUGGCAGCCAUUUCCAGAGACCCUGGAACUCUGGCCCAAGGCUCUCUGACUCCUUCCCCAAUCUUCUCAGCUUAGUGGCUGAAGACUGACACUGCCCGAUCGCCUCAGAAGCCCCCUAAACCAUCACGGAUGCUGAGCUUCAGGUAACUCUCACAAUGGAAGGUAAGUCCGUCCCAUUCUUAAUCAAUACGGACGCUACCCACUCCACAUUACCUUCUUUUCAAGGGCCUGUUUCCCUUGCCUCCAUAACUGUUGUAGGUAUUGAUGGCCAGGCUUCUAAACCUCUUAAAACUCCCCAACUCUGGUGCUAACUUAGACAAUACUCUUUUAAGCACUCCUUUUUAGUUAACCCCACCUGUUCAGUUCCCUUAUUAGGCUGAGACACUUUAACUAAAUUAUCUGCUUCCCUGACUAUUCCUGGGCUACAGCCACACCUCAUUGCCAUCUUUUCCCCCAGUUCAAAGCCUCCUUCACAUCCUCCCCUUGUAUCUCCCCACCUUAACCCACAAGUAUAAGACACCUCUACUCCCUCCUUAGUGACCGAUCAUGCACCCCUUACCAUCCCAUUAAAACCUAAUCACCCUUACCCUGCUCAAUGCCAAUAUCCCAUCCCACAGCAUGCUUUAAAAGGAUUAAAGUCUGUUAUCACUCACCUGCUACAGCAUGGCCUUUUAAAGCCUAUAACCUCCCCUUACAAUUCCCCCAUUUUACCUGUCCUAAAACCAGACAAGGCUUACAGGUUAGUUCAGGAUCUGCGCCUUAUCAACCAAAUUGUUUUGCCUAUCCACACUGUGGUGCCAAACCUAUAUACUCUCCUAUCCUCAAUACCCAUUAUUAAUACCCUCAAUACCCUCCACAACCCAUUAUUCUGUUCCAGAUCUCAAACUUGCUUUCUUUACUAUUCCUUUGCACCCUUCAUCCCAGCCUCUCUUCCCUUUCACUUGGACUGACCCUGACACCCAUCAGGCUCAGCAAAUUACCUGGGCUGUACUGCUGCAAGGCUUCACAGACAGCCCCCAUUACUUCAGUCAAGCCCAAAUUUCUUCCUUAUCUGUUACCUAUGAUGGCAUAAUUCUCAUAAAAACACACGUGCUCUCCCUGCUGGUCAUGUCUGACUGAUCUCUCAAACCCCAGCACCUUCUACAAAACAACUCCUUUCCUUCCCAGGCAUGGUUAGAUACUUUCAACUUUAGAUACCUGGUUUUCCCAUUAUAACAAAACCAUUAUAUAAACUCACAAAAGGAAACCUAGCUGACUCCAUAGAUCCUAAAUCCUUUCCCCACUCCUCUUUCCAUUCCUUGAAGACAACUUUAGAGACUGCCCCCACUCUAGCUCUCCCUGACUCAUCCCAACCCUUUUCAUUACCCACAGCUGAAGUGCAGGGCUGUGCAGUCAGAAUUCUUACACAAGGACCAGGAUCGCAUCCUGUAGCCUUUUUAUCCAAACAACUUGACCUUACUGUUUUGUCUAGCCCUCAAGUCUGCGUGCAGCAGCUACCACCACCCUAAUACUUUUAGAGGCCCUUAAAAUCACAAACUAUGCUCAACUCACUCUCUACAGUUCUCUUAACUUCCAAAACCUAUUUUCUUCCUCACACCUGACACGUAUACUUUCUGCUCCCUGGCUCCUUCAGCUGUACUCACUCUUUGUUGAGUCUCCCACAAUUACCAUUGUUCCUGGCCUGGACUUCAAUCCGGCCUCCCACAUUAUUCCUGAUACCACACCUGACCGCCAUGACUGUAUCUCUCUGAUCCACCUGACAUUCACCCCAUUUCCCCAUAUUUCCUUCUUUCCUGUUCCUCACCCUGAUCACAGUUGGUUUAUUGAUGGCAGUUCCACCAGGCCUAAUUGCCACACACCAGCAAAGGCAGGCUAUGCUAUAGCACAAGCCACUAGCCAACCUCUAAGAACCUCUCAUUUCUUUUCCAUCGUGGAAAUCUAUCCUCAAAGAAAUAACUUCUCAGUGUUCCAUCUGCUAUUCUACUACUCCUCAGGGAUUGCUCAGGCCUCCCUUCCUUUCCCUACACAUCAAGCUCAGGGAUUUGCCCCUGCCCAGGACUGGCAAAUUAGCUUUACUCAACAUGCCCCAAGUCAGGAAACUAAAAUACCUCUUGGUCAGGGUAGACACUUUCACUGGAUAGGUAGAGGCCUUUCCCACAGGGUCUAAGAAGGCCACCACAGUCAUUUCUUCCCUUCUGUCAGACAUAAUUCCUCAGUUUGGCCUUCCCACCUCUAUACAGUCCUAUAACAGACCAGCCUUUAUUAGUCAAAUCACCCAAGCAGUUUUUCAGGCUCUUAGUAUUCAGUGAAACCUUUAUGUCCUUUACAGUCCUCAAUCUUCAGGAAAGGUAGAACGGACUAAUGGUCUUUUAAAAACACACCUCACCAAGCUCAGCCACCAACUUAAAAAGGACUGGACUGGCCGGGCACCGUGGCUCAUGCCUGUAAUCCCAGUACUUUGGGAGGCUGAGGCAGGCAGAUCACGAGGUCAGGAGAUCGAGACCAUUCUGGCUAACACGGUGAAAACCUGUCUCUACUAAAAAUACAAAAAAUUAGCCAGGUGUGGUGGCAGGUGCCUGUAGUCCCAGCUACUCCGGAGGCUGAGGCAGGAGAAUGGCAUGAACCCAGGAGGCGGAGCUUGCAGUGAGCCAAGAUCGUGCCACUGCACUCCAGACAGAGUGCAGUGCAAGACUCCAUCUCAACAAAAAAAAAAAAGGACUGGACAAUACUUUUACCACUUUCCCUUCGCAGAAUUCAGGCCUGUCCUCAGAAUGCUAUAGGUUACAGCCCAUUUGAGCUCCUGUAUAGACACUCCUUUUUAUUAGGUCCCAGUCUCAUUCCAGACACCAGCCCAACUUGAACUGCACCCCAAAAACUUGGAUAGAGCCUAAAAAUUCACCAACCAAGCAAGUAAUUACGCUGAACCCCCUUGGGCACUCUCUAAUUAGAUGUCCUGGGUCCUCCCAAUUCUUAGUCUAAUAUCUGUUUUUCUCCUUCUCUUAUUCCAUUUAGUUUUUCAAUUCACACAAAACAGUAUCCAGGCCAUCACCAAUAAUUCUAUACAACAAAUGUUUCUUCUAACAACCCCAUAAUAUCGCCCCUUACCAUAAAAUCUUCCUUCAGCUUAAUCUCUCCCACUCUAGGUUCCCACGCCGCCCCUAAUCCCGCUCGAAGCAGCCCUGAGAAACAUCGCCCAUUAUCAAUCCAUGCCACCCCCCAAAAAAAUUUUCUCCCCACCCCAACACUUCAACACUAUUAUGUUUUAUUUUUCUUAUUAAUACAAGAAGAGAGGAAUGUCAGGCCUCUGAGCCCAAGCUAAGCCAUCACAUCCCCUGUGACCUGCACAUCUACAUCCAGAUGGCCUGAAGUAACUGAAGAAUCACAAAAGAAGUGAUAUUUAAAUGGCCUGUUCCUGCCUUAACUGAUGACAUUCCACCACAAAAGAAGUGAAAAUGGCUGGUCCUUGCCUUAACUGAUGACAUUACCUUGUGAAAUUCCUUCUCCUGGCUCAUCCUGGCCUAAAAAGCUCCCUGACUGAGCACCUUGUGACCCCCCACUCCUGCCUGCCAGAGAACAACCCCCUUUUUUCCUUUACCUACCCAAAUCUUAUAAAAUGGCCCCACCCCUAUCUCCCUUCGCUGACUCUCUUUUUGGACUCAGCCCGCCUGCACCCAGGUGAUUAAAAGCUUUAUUGCUCACA